RNAcentral lists this ribosomal RNA (742 nucleotides) under uncultured bacterium. RNAcentral describes it as "bacterial SSU rRNA". It matches the Rfam family "Bacterial small subunit ribosomal RNA", at positions 49 to 797 of the family's 1533-position model. The record is from RNAcentral.
CUACCAUGCAGUCGGACGGGAGAGUACGGAAGAUCUUCGGAGAUUUUGUACAAUCCAGUGGCGGACGGGUGAGUAACACGUAGGUAAUCUGCCUUAUGGAUUGGGAUAGCACCUUGAAAAGGGUGGUAAACCCGAAUAAGUUAACCGAUAGACAUCUGUCGGAUAGGAAACAGUGAAAACUGCCAUAAGAUGAGCCUGCGGCCCAUUAGCUAGUUGGUGAGGUAAGAGCCCACCAAGGCAGCGAUGGGUAGCCGGCCUGAGAGGGUGAUCGGCCACAUUGGAACUGAGAAACGGUCCAGACUCCUACGGGAGGCAGCAGUGGGGAAUAUUGCGCAAUGGGGGGAACCCUGACGCAGCGACGCCGCGUGGAUGAAGAAGGCUUUCGGGUUGUAAAGUCCUAAGAAUGGGGAAGAAGAAGACGGUACCCAUAGAAAAGCCCCGGCUAACUACGUGCCAGCAGCCGCGGUAACACGUAGGGGGCGAGCGUUGUCCGGAGUAACUGGGCGUAAAGGGCGUGUAGGCGGGUAUAAAAGUGUAGUGUAAAAGCCUCGGGUAACCCCGGGAGAUGCACUACAAACUAUGUACCUUGAGGAAAGGAUAGGGAAGCGGAAUUCCCGGUGUAGCGGUGAAAUGCGUAGAUAUCGGGAGGAAUACCGGUGGCGAAGGCGGCUUCCUGGACUUAUCCUGACGCUGAGGCGCGAAAGCGUGGGUAGCAAACAGGAUUAGAUACCCUGGUAGUCCA